This 406-nucleotide ribosomal RNA is filed under the name uncultured bacterium. Its description in RNAcentral is "partial 16S ribosomal RNA". It matches the Rfam family "Bacterial small subunit ribosomal RNA", at positions 30 to 526 of the family's 1533-position model. The record is from RNAcentral.
AUUGAACGCUGGCGGCAGGCCUAACACAUGCAAGUCGGGCGCGCGGAGGACGGGUGAGUUAUGUAUGGGGAUCUUCCUGAUGGCGCGGGAUAACUCCUGGAAACGGUAGCCAAUACCGCAUACCAUCAGAGGAACCCAUAUGGGAUUGGCUAGUAGGUAAGGUCACGGCUUACCUAGGCGACGAUCCCUAUCUGGUCUGAGAGGAUGCUCCGCCACACGUGGACUGAGACACGGCCCAGACUCCUACGGGAGGCAGCAGUGGGGAAUCUUGCACAAUGGUCGCAAGCCUGAUGCAGCCAUGCCGCGUGUAUGAAGAAGGCCUUCGGGUUGUAAAGUACUUUCAGUCGGGAGGCGUUACCGACAGAAGAAGCACCGGCUAACUCCGUGCCAGCAGCCGCGGUAAUUC